UAUGGCCGGUGCGGGAGUCCGCGCCGCGAACCUGCCGCUGUUUCUGCAGGCGGGGGUGAAAGAGGUCCAUAGCUCGGCUGGCCACUGGUUGCCGUCGGAAAUGCGCUUUCGUCAUCCGGGCGUUUCGAUGUCAGCCGAUCCCGAUGCCGAUGAAUACAGACGCUACGCCGUGAAUGGCGCAGCGGUGGCGGAGAUGAAAAGGAUUAUCUCCGCCUGGAGAAGUUAAACGGUUUUUUGCUGCACAUCAUGUCGCCCAAUAUGAUGAUUGCCCGUACCAGGCCCCUGCCCAUUAAACAGGGGCCUUUUUUU
This is a non-coding RNA of Klebsiella pneumoniae subsp. pneumoniae MGH 78578, 309 nucleotides long. The record is from Rfam. NCBI's taxonomy places the organism in Bacteria, Pseudomonadati, Pseudomonadota, Gammaproteobacteria, Enterobacterales, Enterobacteriaceae.